This 99-nucleotide small nuclear RNA is filed under the name Rhinolophus ferrumequinum (greater horseshoe bat). The record is from RNAcentral. Lineage: Eukaryota; Metazoa; Chordata; Mammalia; Chiroptera; Rhinolophidae.
UUUGGCAACACUACCUAAAUAUACUAAAAUUGGAAGAGAAGAUUAGCAUGGCCCCUGUGCAAGGAUGACACGCAAAUUCAUGAAGUGUUCCAUAUUUUU